RNAcentral lists this unclassified non-coding RNA (220 nucleotides) under Hevea brasiliensis (rubber tree). Lineage: Eukaryota; Viridiplantae; Streptophyta; Magnoliopsida; Malpighiales; Euphorbiaceae. The record is from RNAcentral.
AAAACAUUUAAUUGGUCAAAUAAGAAACUCUGAUGUGAUUUUGCCAGGGAAAUAAGAUAUAAAGAAUUAAACUUGCUAAAUAAAGACGGUCAUAUUUUUCCUGUAGCAAAUUGCAGCACAUUCAGCUGAUCAAGUUAAUUAUCAGAAUUUCACCUGAGUAAAUUCGACAAAUUAUCCUCCUAACAUGAAUAUGAUUAAGCAAACAUCAUUUGAAUGAAUA